GACGAACGCUGGCGGCGUGCCUAAUACAUGCAAGUUGAGCGCUGAAGGUUGGUACUUGUACCGACUGGAUGAGCAGCGAACGGGUGAGUAACGCGUGGGGAAUCUGCCUUUGAGCGGGGGACAACAUUUGGAAGCGAAUGCUAAUACCGCAUAAAAACUUUAAACACAAGUUUUAAGUUUGAAAGAUGCAAUUGCAUCACUCAAAGAUGAUCCUGCGUUGUAUUAGCUAGUUGGUGGGGUAAAGGCUCACCAAGGCGAUGAUACAUAGCCGACCUGAGAGGGUGAUCGGCCACAUUGGGACUGAGACACGGCCCAAACUCCUACGGGAGGCAGCAGUAGGGAAUCUUCGGCAAUGGACGAAAGUCUGACCGAGCAACGCCGCGUGAGUGAAGAAGGUUUUCGGAUCGUAAAACUCUGUUGGUAGAGAAGAACGUUGGUGAGAGUGGAAAGCUCAUCAAGUGACGGUAACUACCCAGAAAGGGACGGCUAACUACGUGCCAGCCGCCGCGGUAA
Molecule: ribosomal RNA, 513 nt
Filed under: uncultured bacterium
Lineage: Bacteria
Description: partial 16S ribosomal RNA
Rfam family: Bacterial small subunit ribosomal RNA
Source: RNAcentral